RNAcentral lists this ribosomal RNA (256 nucleotides) under uncultured bacterium. Its description in RNAcentral is "partial 16S ribosomal RNA". It matches the Rfam family "Bacterial small subunit ribosomal RNA", at positions 524 to 776 of the family's 1533-position model. The record is from RNAcentral.
UACGAGGGGGGGCAAGCGUUGUUCGAUGAAUUGGUGCGUAAAGGGCGCGUAGGCGGUCUGAUAAGUCUUGUGUGAAAUCUCUGGGCUCAACCCAGAGUCUGCAUAGGAAACUGUUCGGGCUUGAGUAUGGGAGAGGUGCGUGGAAUUUCCGGUGUAGCGGUGAAAUGACGUAGAUAUCGGAAGGAACACCUGUGGCGAAAGCGGCGCACUGGACCAAAACUGACGCUGAGGCGCGAAAGCUAGGGGAGCAAACAGG